GCUUGGGCUCUUUGCUGACGAGUGGCGGACGGGUGAGUAAUGUCUGGGAAACUGCCUGAUGGAGGGGGAUAACUACUGGAAACGGUAGCUAAUACCGCAUAACGUCGCAAGACCAAAGAGGGGGACCUUCGGGCCUCUUGCCAUCGGAUGUGCCCAGAUGGGAUUAGCUUGUUGGUGGGGUAACGGCUCACCAAGGCGACGAUCCCUAGCUGGUCUGAGAGGAUGACCAGCCACACUGGAACUGAGACACGGUCCAGACUCCUACGGGAGGCAGCAGUGGGGAAUAUUGCACAAUGGGCGCAAGCCUGAUGCAGCCAUGCCGCGUGUAUGAAGAAGGCCUUCGGGUUGUAAAGUACUUUCAGCGGGGAGGAAGGGAGUAAAGUUAAUACCUUUGCUCAUUGACGUUACCCGCAGAAGAAGCACCGGCUAACUCCGUGCCAGCAGCCGCGGUAAUACGGAGGGUGCAAGC
This 469-nucleotide ribosomal RNA is filed under the name Escherichia coli. Its description in RNAcentral is "bacterial SSU rRNA". It matches the Rfam family "Bacterial small subunit ribosomal RNA", at positions 77 to 539 of the family's 1533-position model. Lineage: Bacteria; Pseudomonadati; Pseudomonadota; Gammaproteobacteria; Enterobacterales; Enterobacteriaceae. The record is from RNAcentral.